AGUGGCGUACGGGUGAGUAAUAUAUCGGAACAUGCCCAGAAGUGGGGGAUAACUUACCGAAAGGUAGGCUAAUACCGCAUACGAUCUAAGGGUGAAAGCGGGGGAUCGCGAGACCUCGUGCUUUUGGAGUGGCCGAUAUCUGAUUAGCUAGUUGGUAGGGUAAAAGCCUACCAAGGCGACGAUCAGUAGCUGGUUUGAGAGAACGGCCAGCCACACUGGGACUGAGACACGGCCCAGACUCCUACGGGAGGCAGCAGUGGGGAAUUUUGGACAAUGGGGGAAACCCUGAUCCAGCAAUGCCGCGUGUGCGAAGAAGGCCUUCGGGUUGUAAAGCACUUUUGCCAGGAAAGAAAAGUGUGCGUGCUAAUACCAUGUGCACAUGACGGUACCUGAAGAAUAAGCACCGGCUAACUACGUGCCAGCAGCCGCGGUAAUACGUAGGGUGCAAGCGUUAAUCGGAAUUACUGGGCGUAAAGCGUGCGCAGGCGGUUAUAUAAGUCAGUUGUGAAAUCCCUGGGCUUAACCUAGGAACUGCAUUUGAGACUGUAUGGCUAGAGUGUGUCAGAGGGGGGUAGAAUUCCACGUGUAGCAGUGAAAUGCGUAGAGAUGUGGAGGAAUACCGAUGGCGAAGGCAGCCCCCUGGGAUAACACUGACGCUCAUGCACGAAAGCGUGGGGAGCAAACAGGAUUAGAUACCCUG
This 700-nucleotide ribosomal RNA is filed under the name uncultured bacterium. Its description in RNAcentral is "bacterial SSU rRNA". It matches the Rfam family "Bacterial small subunit ribosomal RNA", at positions 94 to 789 of the family's 1533-position model. The record is from RNAcentral.